UACAGAGGGGGCAAGCGUUAUUCGGAAUUAUUGGGCGUAAAGCGCACGUAGGCGGCUUUGUAAGUUAGGGGUGAAAGCCCGGGGCUCAACUCCGGAAUUGCCUUUAAGACUGCAUCGCUAGAAUUGUGGAGAGGUAAGUGGAAUUCCGAGUGUAGAGGUGAAAUUCGUAGAUAUUCGGAAGAACACCAGUGGCGAAGGCGACUUACUGGACACAUAUUGACGCUGAGGUGCGAAAGCGUGGGGAGCAAACAGG
RNAcentral lists this ribosomal RNA (253 nucleotides) under uncultured bacterium. RNAcentral's name for it is "partial 16S ribosomal RNA". It matches the Rfam family "Bacterial small subunit ribosomal RNA", at positions 524 to 776 of the family's 1533-position model. The record is from RNAcentral.